Molecule: non-coding RNA, 520 nt
Organism: Pelobates cultripes (western spadefoot toad)
Lineage: Eukaryota; Metazoa; Chordata; Amphibia; Anura; Pelobatidae
Source: the annotation of a GenBank genome assembly
CUUUAUCUUGCCGAACAGCUUUCUGUGUGAAGAGUGUGUCUUUUUCAUUUUGCGAAUAGUGAAGAUUUCAAUACAAAUUGACACUAUUAUAAAUUAACCUGGCUACACCCCCCUAGCUGUCAAUCAGACAACCAAUCCUGUUACUUCCUAGUUUGGUUAGCUCAGUGGCGCUAGGCUCAAGAGGCAGCAAUUGCCCAGAGCACCUGCCUUGUGAAAACGUCUCAUUGUGCUGCACAGAAAGUCUGAGCUGGGUAAGAAGGAGAGGACCUGCGAAGGAUUCAGACACAAGAUCAGUAGCUUUUGCAAGCUGUUUUUAGAUACACCCCUAAUUAUAUAAAAAAGUUUAAUUAAAUACAUGCAAGUUUUCAUUUGGGAUAUAUAUACUAAACAGUAUUUUUUUUUAAUUUGCAUUUGGGCAUUGGAGUAUCCCUUUAAGGAAGCAAGCUGAGAUAUGUCAAAUCAACCUAAGACACCCAUUAGCCCUUUGGAAAACUGCUAGUGCACAUUUUUGUUAUUCUAG